Molecule: transfer RNA, 28 nt
Filed under: Okamejei acutispina (sharpspine skate)
Lineage: Eukaryota; Metazoa; Chordata; Chondrichthyes; Rajiformes; Rajidae
Also listed under: 1 other name
Description: partial tRNA-Phe
Source: RNAcentral
AGAUAAAAUUUAAAACCUUUCACAAGCA